Molecule: long non-coding RNA, 500 nt
Organism: Sphaeramia orbicularis (orbiculate cardinalfish)
Lineage: Eukaryota; Metazoa; Chordata; Actinopteri; Kurtiformes; Apogonidae
Exons: 2
Source: RefSeq, a predicted model, not a curated record
GUUUGAGCCACAGACACUGCAAUACAUGGAUGUUGGCCUUGCACUUCUUCUGUUUUAAGCCUGGAUGUUAAAAAAUUACCCCAAACUCAAAUGUUACACAAAAUAUGUUGCUGAUAAAUUUUACAAAGCCACCAUGAAAAAUACACUUAUCACAUAAUCUAAGACCCAACUAAACAGUAGAUUGUUCCAAACUACACUGUCGCCCAUAAAGUUGGAAUAAUGUUGUUUUCAGACACAUUCGUCUUUUAAAACCUAUUUUACAUGAGUAAUCACCUUUGGCCUGGUUUAAUGAUCACAUACUGGGUCCCAGUAACACUUUAUCCAUCAAGAAUGAAUCAUAUUGUCAAAAUGAUUUCAUGAGAACAGUGUAUAAUUUUACACAUUUUCUUAUUGAUAAAGAACAUAGAAAACCACAAAUGGAUGAGGGCUCUUAUUUGGCUUUGACCAUUUACACUUAUUUAAUAAUUUUACAAGAUACUUUUAAUGUUUGGCAUGUAUUC